RNAcentral lists this ribosomal RNA (388 nucleotides) under uncultured soil bacterium. RNAcentral describes it as "bacterial SSU rRNA". It matches the Rfam family "Bacterial small subunit ribosomal RNA", at positions 26 to 433 of the family's 1533-position model. The record is from RNAcentral.
AGAACGAACGCUGGCGGCAGGCCUAACACAUGCAAGUCGAACGCCCGUAGCAAUACGGGAGUGGCAGACGGGUGAGUAACGCGUGGGAACGUGCCCUUCGGUUCGGAAUAACUCAGGGAAACUUGAGCUAAUACCGGAUACGUCCGUAAGGAGAAAGAUUUAUCGCCGAAGGAUCGGCCCGCGUCGGAUUAGCUAGUUGGUGAGGUAACGGCCCACCAAGGCGACGAUCCGUAGCUGGUCUGAGAGGAUGAUCAGCCACACUGGGACUGAGACACGGCCCAGACUCCGUACGGGAGGCAGCAGGUGGGGAAUAUUGGACAAGUGGGCGCGAAGCCUGAUCCGAGCCAUCGCCGCGUGAGUGAAGAAGGCCUUAGGGUACGUAAGUCUC